AGACGAUUGGGAGAGCGGUUUAAUCCGCCACCUUGGAAAGGUGGUUUAGAGCAAUCUAACGAGGGUUCAAAUCCCUCAUCGUCUGCCA
Molecule: transfer RNA, 88 nt
Filed under: Helicobacteraceae bacterium
Lineage: Bacteria; Pseudomonadati; Campylobacterota; Epsilonproteobacteria; Campylobacterales; Helicobacteraceae
Also listed under: 1 other name
Description: tRNA-Ser
Rfam family: tRNA
About the family: Transfer RNA (tRNA) molecules are approximately 80 nucleotides in length.
Source: RNAcentral